GCGGGUGUAGCUUAGCCUGGUUAAAGCGUCUGCCUGUCACGCAGAAGAUCGCCGGUCCAAAUCCGGUCGCCCGCGCAA
This 78-nucleotide transfer RNA is filed under the name bacterium. RNAcentral describes it as "tRNA-Asp". It matches the Rfam family "tRNA". From Rfam's summary of the family: Transfer RNA (tRNA) molecules are approximately 80 nucleotides in length. The record is from RNAcentral.